Parelaphostrongylus tenuis is the source of this 70-nucleotide non-coding RNA. Lineage: Eukaryota; Metazoa; Nematoda; Chromadorea; Rhabditida; Metastrongylidae. The record is from the annotation of a GenBank genome assembly.
GCGUCGUAGUGCAACGGUUAGGUACGCUCCUGGAAAGAGUGAGAUCUGGGUUCGAAUCCCGGCUGACGCA